UGAGGAAUAUUGGGCAAUAGGCGCAAGCCUGACCCAGCCAUGCCGCGUGCAGGAUGAAGGCCCUAUGGGUUGUAAACUGCUUUUAUACGGGACGAAUCCCUCGGACGUGUCCGGGGCUGACGGUACCGUAAGAAUAAGCUUCGGCUAACUCCGUGCCAGCAGCCGCGGUAAUACGGAGGAUGCAAGCGUUAUCCGGAUUCAUUGGGUUUAAAGGGUGCGUAGGCGGAACGAUAAGUCAGCGGUGAAAUCCUGCAGCUUAACUGUAGAAUUGCCAUUGAUACUGCCGUUCUUGAAUGCGGUUGAGGCAGGCGGAAUGUGUAUUGUAGCGGUGAAAUGCGUAGAUAUUACACAGAACACCUAUUGCGUAGGCAGCCUGCUAAGCCGUGAUUGACGCUGAGGCACGAAAGCGUGGGGAGCAAACAGG
This 424-nucleotide ribosomal RNA is filed under the name uncultured prokaryote. Its description in RNAcentral is "bacterial SSU rRNA". It matches the Rfam family "Bacterial small subunit ribosomal RNA", at positions 355 to 776 of the family's 1533-position model. RNAcentral also lists the same sequence under 1 other name. The record is from RNAcentral.